This 458-nucleotide ribosomal RNA is filed under the name uncultured bacterium. Its description in RNAcentral is "partial 16S ribosomal RNA". It matches the Rfam family "Bacterial small subunit ribosomal RNA", at positions 338 to 795 of the family's 1533-position model. The record is from RNAcentral.
CCUACGGGAGGCAGCAGUGGGGAAUAUUGCACAAUGGGGGAAACCCUGAUGCAGCGACGCCGCGUGAGUGAAGAAGUAAUUCUUUACGUAAAGCUCUAUCAGCAGGGAAGAAACACUGACCUUACGGUCAGCAGACGGUACCUGAGUAAGAAGCCCCGGCUAACUACGUGCCAGCAGCCGCGGUAAUACGUAGGUGGCAAGCGUUCUCCGGAUUUACUGGGGGUAAAGGGAGCGUAGACGGUGCGGCAAGUCUGGAGUGAAAAGCCGCAGCUUAACUGCGGAACUGCUUUGGAAACUGGCGAACUAGAGUGCGGGAGGGGUAAGCGGAAUUCCUAGUGUAGCGGUGAAAUGCGUAGAUAUUAGGAGGAACACCGGUGGCGAAGGCGGCUUACUGGACCGUAACUGACGUUGAGGCUCGAAAGCGUGGGGAGCAAACAGGAUUAGAUACCCUAGUAGUC